This 279-nucleotide unclassified non-coding RNA is filed under the name air metagenome. RNAcentral's name for it is "partial contains small subunit ribosomal RNA, internal transcribed spacer 1, and 5.8S ribosomal RNA". The stretch from base 1 to 46 matches the Rfam family "Eukaryotic small subunit ribosomal RNA", at positions 1786 to 1831 of the family's 1831-position model. The record is from RNAcentral.
AAGUCGUAACAAGGUUUCCGUAGGUGAACCUGCGGAAGGAUCAUUAACGAAUUGUUCAUGGGAGUUGAUGCUGGAAUGCUUUUAGGAGGAUUCAUGUGCUCGCUCUCUACAAUCCUAUCCAUACACCUGUGCACCUUUGAGGAUCCGAGGUGGGAAGGUCUUUGCUGACUGGAAAAACUCGGACCUUACACAUACACCUUUUUUCUAAUAUCGAACGUGAUUGCGCCGUAAGGCCAUAAAACUAUAAUACAACUUUUAACAACGGAUCUCUUGGCUCUC